Molecule: ribosomal RNA, 495 nt
Filed under: uncultured bacterium
Lineage: Bacteria
Description: partial 16S ribosomal RNA
Rfam family: Bacterial small subunit ribosomal RNA
Source: RNAcentral
GACGAACGCUGGCGGCGUGCCUAAUACAUGCAGGUAGAACGCUGAAGGAGGAGCUAGCUUCUCUGGAUGAGUUGCGAACGGGUGAGUAACGCGUAGGUAACCUGCCUGGUAGCGGGGGAUAACUAUUGGAAACGAUAGCUAAUACCGCAUAAUAUUGACUAUUGCAUGAUAGUCAGUUGAAAGGUGCAACUGCACCACUACCAGAUGGACCUGCGUUGUAUUAGCUAGUUGGUGGGGUAACGGCUCACCAAGGCGACGAUACAUAGCCGACCUGAGAGGGUGAUCGGCCACACUGGGACUGAGACACGGCCCAGACUCCUACGGGAGGCAGCAGUAGGGAAUCUUCGGCAAUGGACGGAAGUCUGACCGAGCAACGCCGCGUGAGUGAAGAAGGUUUUCGGAUCGUAAAGCUCUGUUGUAAGAGAAGAACGAGUGUGAGAGUGGAAAGCUCACACUGUGACGGUAUCUUACCAGAAAGGGACGGCUAACUACGUG